AUGCAAGUCGAGCGGUAACAUUUCUAGCUUGCUAGAAGAUGACGAGCGGCGGACGGGUGAGUAAUGCUUGGGAAUAUGCCUUAUGGUGGGGGACAACAGUUGGAAACGACUGCUAAUACCGCAUAACGUCUACGGACCAAAGGGGGGGAUCUUCGGACCUCUCGCCAUUUGAUUAGCCCAAGUGAGAUUAGCUAGUUGGUGAGGUAAAGGCUCACCAAGGCGACGAUCUCUAGCUGGUUUGAGAGGAUGAUCAGCCACACUGGGACUGAGACACGGCCCAGACUCCUACGGGAGGCAGCAGUGGGGAAUAUUGCACAAUGGGCGAAAGCCUGAUGCAGCCAUGCCGCGUGUGUGAAGAAGGCCUUCGGGUUGUAAAGCACUUUCAGUUGUGAGGAAAGGGGUGUAGUUAAUAACUGCAUUCUGUGACGUUAACAACAGAAGAAGCACCGGCUAACUUCGUGCCAGCAGCCGCGGUAAUACGAGGGGUGCAAGCGUUAAUCGGAAUUACUGGGCGUAAAGCGUACGUAGGCGGUUUGUUAAGCAAGAUGUGAAAGCCCAGGGCUCAACCUUGGAACUGCAUUUUGAACUGGCAAACUAGAGUACUGUAGAGGGUGGUGGAAUUUCCAGUGUAGCGGUGAAAUGCGUAGAGAUUGGAAGGAACAUCAGUGGCGAAGGCGGCCACCUGGACAGAUACUGACGCUGAGGUACGAAAGCGUGGGGAGCAAACAGGAUUAGAUACCCUGGUAGUCCACGCCGUAAACGAUGUCAACUAGCCGUUUGUGUCCUUGAGACGUGAGUGGCGCAGCUAACGCACUAAGUUGACCGCCUGGGGAGUACGGCCGCAAGGUUAAAACUCAAAUGAAUUGACGGGGGCUCGCACAAGCGGUGAGCAUGUGGUUUAAUUCGAUGCAACGCGAAGAACCUUACCAUCCCUUGACAUCCAGAGAAGCGACUAGAGAUAGACGUGUGCCUUCGGGACUCUGUGACAGGUGCUGCAUGACUGUCGUCAGCUCGUGUGUGAAAUGUGGAUAGUCCCGCACGAGCGCAUCCUAUCCUAUUUGCAGCGCGUAUGCGACUCUAGGAGACUGCCGUGAUAACCGAGAGUGGGACGACGUCAAGUCAUCAUGCUACGGGAUGCUACACACGUGCUACAAUGCAGGUACGAAGGGCACCAUAUCCAGUUACGAAUUCUAAAGCUGUUGUAAUCCGCCAU
Molecule: ribosomal RNA, 1213 nt
Filed under: uncultured Gammaproteobacteria bacterium
Lineage: Bacteria; Pseudomonadati; Pseudomonadota; Gammaproteobacteria
Description: partial 16S ribosomal RNA
Rfam family: Bacterial small subunit ribosomal RNA
Source: RNAcentral